Molecule: non-coding RNA, 397 nt
Organism: Pelobates cultripes (western spadefoot toad)
Lineage: Eukaryota; Metazoa; Chordata; Amphibia; Anura; Pelobatidae
Source: the annotation of a GenBank genome assembly
CGUGCCAAGAUGGCGGCGCUGUUAGAAGACAGGGAGCUGCAGGGAAUCAGACAUCGUUUCCAGCUGCAGGCGGAGGCUCUGCUCCGGGAGACAAGGAGCAGGGAGCCCGUAGAUAUUUAUGAUGAUGAAAAGAAAAAGUAGAAGCCACUCCCCAGACUCAAUUUUCAUUCUGUGUUCUGGAUAUUGGCAGCUGCUUUACUCACGUACUAUGUUGAUUUUGUUUAAGAUACUUUGCAAGAAGGCUGUUGGUGGUUUUAGACUGGGACUUUUACGCUAGCUGCCAGUUUAUCCAUUGCAUUGUAUUGCAUUGUUUAUCUGGAAUGGCAUUGUGGGUUCAGUGAUUACGAGACAAGGUAUCCUGCAUUAGUUCCCAUCGCGAUAACUACUUUUAUAGCCA